CCGAUAUUUUAGCAAUAUUAUAAAAAGCGUUGUUCUCCGUAAUCAGGUGCAGGCCCGCUAGGUUUGCACACGGACACACCCGGUUCCUUGUUCAACCGCGGUGUCGCCGAUGCCUCAAUUCAGAAGCUGGAGGGAGACCCUCGAGAGGGCCCCUCUCCUCUCCAGGGCCUCUCCCGGCAGCGCCCGGCUCCUGGGAAGGACACACCGCUUGGGAGGAGGCCAGGCCUUCGAGAAGCUUGUCCAAGGCUCAUAGGAGAUACGCCAAGAAGUAAAAGCAGCUUGUUUUUCCUCUGGGCCUGACGGGAAGAGAGAGAGAAUGCAAAAUAUAGACAUUGUUUUUGGCCAAAGUUGGAGACCCUGGAAACUCUAGAUCAUUCCACAUGAAGAAGCAUGCACAGACUCAGGGGAGAUUCCACCCGGGUUGGACACAGGCCCCAAGUGGACCUGCGACAGGUGGCCUCCAGAGGAGGCGGAACACUGAAUCCUGCAAAGCAGAAGAGAGGCCCUGACUUCGGAGCCCUCGGUCCUGGGAUGGAAAUGGGACCAGGGACCUGCUGGCUAUGGGGCCGUCCCCAUAUACAGGUGACACGGAGGUGGAGUGGACAAGGAAACUCUGAGCAGCCUGUGGGUGAGGGGAGGUGGGGAGGGCAUCUUCUUGACCCCUGCGUGACUGACCUGUGUUCUGGGGAGUAGUCCAGGUGAACCUAAGUGGGUGGUCCUGCCAUGUGCACAGAGUCGUGUGUGAGGGGCUUUGCUGAGAACCAGAACUUCCAUCAGGUCUGGAACAUGGCCUUGACCGUCUCUGGCGUCAACCUCUUGCAAAUGGAAGGUCUGUAGAGAGCUGCCCGUGUUCCAUGAUGACUGAUAAUAGGACUGACCUAUGCCAAGUUACUGCAAGACACGAGGAGGAAGAGCAGGAAAGACGGGACACACGCCGACACAGAGCCGCCGAACAGACGACACUGUAGGACGCAGUGUGAUGACGCAGAGCAAUGAAGGGGACAGCCACCUCCCUAAGCAAGAGCCCAAGCAGAGACGCGAGAGCCGAAGAACUGCCGAGAGGAGAGGGGGAGAAACUAACGCACCACAGGUUGAGAAUGCGGAGGAGCGGCCGUCAGGAGGCUGGAAACACGGAAAAGGGAGAAGAACAGAUUUGGGAUGAUGAAGGGGGAGCAGAGAUUAGAGAGAAAGUAAUUAACAUAAAAGACAGACCCUCAGGAAGAGAAGGAAACAAAUGAAAACAAAACUUUGACGAUGGUCUCCCAGGAAAACCAGACAGAGGCCCAACGUGUGUGUGUGUGUGUGUGUGUGUGUAUGUGUGUGUAUGUGUGUGUGCGCGUGUGUGUGUGUACACAGGCAGUGAUAUAAUUGGCUACACGUGUGCAGGUCCACAAACAUACCACACGACGCCAAGCACGCACUUGGCCAAUGUGACAGCCCAUGUGGUUUCCAUCAGCCAACCGACGACCUCCUGCAGGAAGAGAACACAGGUUCGCGAGAUCUUCAAACUCUCGCACUUUCUUCACGUCGUCACCUCGGUGCCUUGUUGGUCUUCCCCCAGUUUAAUCUGUUGGGAAUUCUGCUGGACUCUCCUCAAGUGGCCUGAAACGUAUGUGUUGACACCACCACUUGAAGGGGCCUGCUCUGGGGUGGUCAGAAAGUAUCCACGUGGUCCUUCUGACACGGAGCCACGUGGCAGCAUCGGCGGUCCAGGUUCGCUUUACGGUGGAGCGAGCACAUCACAGGCAUCCUCGCAGCCUCCAGGCCUGUUUCUCCACUGCGGCUCUACUGACCUGGAGCUGGAGGUGUCUGUGGUGGGGCUUCUUGCGCAUCACAGGUGUGAGGCAGCGCCCUGCCUUCCACCUACUAGAGGAAGUGUCACCUCUCCUGGUGGUGACAACAAGGAAUGUCCCCACAGGCGGGCAGGGAGACAGAUGUGUAACACACAGUGACCCUCAUAAAGCCAUAGUCACAGAUGGUCACAGCACCACAGGGAGUACUGGGGGCUCCAAUGCACUCCCUUAGGGGAGCUGAUCAACCUGUAGGGUCAGGGCGGCCCCCUGAGGUCACCGUUCACAACAGCUCUGAGGGCUGAGUGGGGUGAGCCAGGCCAACGUGGAGGGAAAGUGGACAGCCGGCGUGGGGAAGUGCACGAUGGGAGCACUGCCUGACAGGAGCUGAGACCCUGAGGGAGGUCCAGGGUGGGGG
Long non-coding RNA from Equus caballus (horse), 2208 nucleotides. The record is from Ensembl. Lineage: Eukaryota; Metazoa; Chordata; Mammalia; Perissodactyla; Equidae.